AACCGCUGAAAGCAUCUAAGUGGGAAGCCGACCUCAAGACGAGAUCUCCCUGAACUUCGGUUCCUGAAGAGCACUCCGAGACGAGGAGUUCGAUAGGCUGGGUGUGGAAGCGCAGCAAUGCGUUGAGCUAACCAGUACUAAUGAUCCGUGCGGCUUGAUCAU
RNAcentral lists this ribosomal RNA (162 nucleotides) under Lysobacterales bacterium. RNAcentral's name for it is "partial 23S ribosomal RNA". It matches the Rfam family "Bacterial large subunit ribosomal RNA", at positions 2766 to 2925 of the family's 2925-position model. The record is from RNAcentral. Lineage: Bacteria; Pseudomonadati; Pseudomonadota; Gammaproteobacteria; Lysobacterales.